Long non-coding RNA from Lontra canadensis (Northern American river otter), 100 nucleotides. RefSeq lists it as uncharacterized. The transcript is spliced from 3 exons. Lineage: Eukaryota; Metazoa; Chordata; Mammalia; Carnivora; Mustelidae. The record is from RefSeq and is a predicted model, not a curated record.
AAAUGAGCCAAAAGGCUGUAGUUUGGAAAGAACUGUCCUAGACCACUUGUCUUCCCCCAAGUCUGAUUCUUAUCCAUCCUUCCCAUUCUUGGAAAGAACA